CGGACACGACUGCAGCGACUUGGCACGCACGCACAGGAGGGAGCAGGUGGAGCAGAUGGCCAGGGAGUGAGAUAAGGCGAGACAAGACCUGGAGAAAGCUGAGCAGAGGAACCUGGAGUUUGUGAAAGAGACGGACGACCUCCAUUCCGCCGUGGAACAUCUCGCGGAGGAGAAGGUCAGGACCUGCAGGACCAUAACGAUGAGCUGCAGGCUGCCCUGCAAGGCCUGCAGGCACAGACGGCCCCGAGUCGGCACAGCCACCUGCCCCUGGGACACGGCCUGGGAGGCACCAUCACGUUCGUGGGUUAUUCAGCCCCAGCGAGUACAGAAAUAGAGAUCAUGUUGAAGCAGCUGAAGGAGCGUUACCAAGAACUCAGGAUCCAGCUGGAGACCCAGGUUAGUGACCACGAGAGGAAGAUGGAGGUGAUGAAAGGGGCCUUUGCAGAGGAGAGGAGGCAGCUGGAGCGGGGCUUCCAGCUCGAGGUUGGCGUGGUUCAGGGUCAGAAGGGCAAGCUGGCGACGCUGCACGCGGAGUCACAGGAGGUCAUCUGAGGCCUGCGGGAGCAGCUGCAGAGGAGGGCAGAGCUGGAGCAGGGCCACGCAUGGCAGCUGGGCCGGGAGACAGUGCUUCAGUGGCUCAGGUCCACCACCCUGGCUGUGCGGGAUCUCACGUCCAGGGUUCGUUGCCAAGAACCCGGAUCUGAAAUUGAAUUUGAGCAGAUUGCUCAGAGUCACAAGUACUCGUUACCUGAGUGGUGAGCCCUGAAAGAACAGGUUAUUUUGCAAAGGUUCUGACUUUUCUUUCUGCCGCACUGUGCGCAUGGCCUGAGAGAUCUUAGUUCCCUCACCAGGGAUGACACUUGUGCCCUUGUGAUGGAUACAUGGAGUCUUCACCACUGGACUGCCAGGCAAGUCCCAAAGAAUCUGACUUAAAAAAUACAGUCUCCCUCAUCUGUCAUCUCGUGGCUCCUGGGGAGGUGAAUAAAAGGCCUUAAUGCCCCCAAAUAAUGGGAAAGGCCUUUACUUUGGGUUAGUGGAGUCUUGAAAGAAACAGAUUUGUGAGCAAAGGAGAGAAAAGGUUUGCUUGGCGAACUGGAGCAUGAUCUUCUGUGCUAGAGAAGAAGGGCCCACACGCCCAUCCUCUGGGCCCCACCAGGGAGCUGGGGGCUGGGGAGGCCUGAGGGGAGGCUGGAGGUGGGGAGGCCUCUGUGAGCCGGUGAUGGGAGCGCUCAGGUGUGCAGCCUGGCCCUCCUCCCCGGGCCCCCUGGGGCUCAGGCCGGCACCCACUCCCUCUCAGGAGCCCAGGACUCCAGAAGGGCUUUUCCAGGAGCUUCGCAGCAGCACACAGGAGAUGACUCGGGUGACUGCAGGCAGGCACAGCUGUGUGUUGUGGUUGCGGCUCUAUGCACUGUGUCUUUUGGCCCCGUGAGCGCCCGCACAGCACUCCCGCAGGCUCCUGGCAUCCUGUGGAGACAGAGGCUUCGUGAGGUGUUGUGUCCCUUGUCUGGGCAGAGGACACUGGCCCACCGCAUAUCCAGGUGUGGCCAGGUGAGGCGCCAGCUCCUGCCUGCUAGGUGACCAUCGCACGUUGCUUCACCAGUAAACAGGUCACGGGGGGUUUAUGGUACGCACCUCCCAGCUUGAGGAAGGAAAUAUUAGCAUGGCCAGUAGCCCCAGGCUCUGUUCCCAGGCCCCCCCACUUCUCCCCAAGGCAUCUGGACUGUUUAUCACCCUCUAGACCUGGUCUAGGCCUCUGCCUCGGAUGCAGGGGUCCCCCAACAACAUGGAGCCUUGGUCGUGGUGGACUGACUUCUGAAUGCCCUGCUCCAUGAAGCAGAGGUGGUGCUGGGCCUCACGAGUGGCACGGAGCCUCAGGUGAACGUCUGGACCCACUGUUACUGUUGCGGCUGCGAUCAAAAGCUGGUCUUGGGCCCAAUGGACCUGCGAGUCCACAUCAGGCCCCAGGCACACUCGGGGCCCUUCAGUGUGGGAGCAGCCCAGCGGCCACACGCCCUCUCUGCCGUCUGUCUCGGGCACUUCCGGUGGACAGGCACAGGAGCCCAGUGCUGUCCUAGUGCUCCACCCCGCCCCCGGGCCCGGCGGGCUGUGCUGGUCCUCUCUGCUUCUCCUGACUCACAGCAUGCCCUGGCUUGUUGGCCCCACAGCUAACGUCUCGGUUCCCGUCUCAGUGGUGUCUGGAUCAUUGGACAGGGUUUCCUGGGCACCUGCCACGUGCUGUCACAGCCGGGGCUGCAGCCCAGAGUUGGAUGCCUGGUUAGAUGCUUUCUUUAGGGACCAUCUUCUUCACUCUAAUGUGUGGUCUUUCGUGAAAGUGUCUUUGGAGGACAUUCCCUCAGUUUUUGUGUAUCUGAAAAUGUCUCAGAUUCUCUCCCAUUUCUGAAGGCCGGUCCUCCCAGGAGAACAGGCCUUGAUGCGCAGUUGAAGGCUGCCCUCUGCCCUCUGACCUGGGCAGGCUGCUCUUAGUGAGCAUCCAUUUUCCGUUGCUGUGGUGAUGAGUUACCAGGAAGUCAGAGGCUUAAAGCAUCACAACGUAGGAUUUCACGGUGUUCGAGCCUGAAAAUCAGAAGUGGGUAUGACUGGGCGGGAAUCUCGGUGUUGGCAGCCGCCUUCCUUUCUUGGAAGCUCGGUUGGAAACCUGCAGACCUCCCAUUCUUGAUCCACACCUUCCUUCUCUAAGGCUAGCAGUGACUGGUUGGUCCUCCUUGCGCUCCGUCCUGACUCCCAGUCUUCUGCCUGCUCUUCCACAGAGGAGGACCCUAGUGGACAGUCUAGGACACUCUUUCCAUCUAAGGGCAGUGAAUUAGCAGCUUUAAUUCCUUUUGUUGCGUUGAUUCCCCUUUGCUAUGAAAUAGCACAUUUGCAGGUUCUGGAUGCAGACGUCUUUUAGAGGCUGUUUUUCUGUCCCCACAGGAGGUGACCUGAGUUGUGUCCUCUGGUUGCUAUUAGCUUCUCCAUCUUUUGUGGUUUUUCUUUGGUGUGUUUAGGUGUCUCUUUCUUGUGUUUUAACUUUUUAUUGAAGUGUUAGAUGCACACACAGAAAAACUCACACGUGUAUGCAUGCAACUGGAAGAAUUGUUGGUGAAUUGGACACAUCUGUGUCACCGGCACCCAGAACAUGUUCCCCAGGGUUACUGUUGCAAGUCGGGUAGUGGUAACCCCUGGGGGAGCUCUGGGGAGCCCCAUUUUUUGUUCUCGGUGCUGGUAUACCUAAGAAUGGAAUUGUUGAGUCUUAGGGCACAGAUGCGGUUUUCUUUUUACUUACCGUACUUUGAAAUAUUAUGCCUGUUGAAUAUAUAGAUUUGUGUCCUAUGAAAAUCUUUCAGACAUUCUUUGUAAAAUAUUGCCUCUCCCCUCAGUGGCCUUUUCAGUUGGUUGUAUGAUAUUACAUCUUUUCACUUUUCCUCCUUUUCUUAACCUCUCUUUCAUUUCUUCCAUCUUCUUUUCUGUACAUGGCACUUUAUGGGUACUUCUGUGUUCCAUGUCAGUGAAUCUUUCUUCAGCUAUAUCUGAUCUACCAGUGAGCUUUUAUUUUGACUUUUUUUUUUUUCAUUUUCAAACAUUCUAUUUGGUCCUGCUUGAUCGUUUCCGAUAGCUUCUUAUUGCUCGCUCGUCCACUUUUUAUUUCCAUUUUUUAUUUAAGUAAACAUUUAAUAAUAUUUAUCCGACGUUUGUGUCUGAUAUUUCCAAUAUCUGGAAUCUAAUUCUGUUGUUUUGGCUUCUUCUGACUCUCGUAAGUGGUCUCUCCCAUAUAUGUUGCGGUGACCUUUGUGAGCUCAUGCUUACAAGAUGUUUAUCGCUGGGAAUCCUGAGAACUGUAGAAGAGGGUUCUCCCUGCAGAAAGGAUGCGUUUUGCUUUUGCCAAGAAGACUUGGGAGCCUCUUAAUCUGAGACCACUUUAACCUCUUCCACGGAACCAGCCCACCACAUGUGGCCCUGGUGUGGUUUCUCCACACUGAGGUAGGUGUUGGCCUCAGGGUAAGCCCAUCUUUGUGUUGCUUAAUGCUCACAGCUUUGGUUUCAGCAUUCAGGUUUUUGUUUAAGGGCUCCUGGAGGUUUCUAUAGCCGUCUGUGAGGACACCAGACGUUAGAUGAUCAGCUUUGCACACGCUCUGAGUAAUUGGUGCAUGUGGAGGACUGAGAUGAGGCAACCACCAUCUUAUUCAAGGUCCAGGAAACUGGAAACAGAACCCCUCCUGACUGCCACCCACAUGCACACACACCGCUACCUUUGAAUCAAUUUUGUUUUCCAUCCAGGAGUCUGAAUGACAGUUCAAAACACAGACCUCACUUCUGAUCACUCUCUUCCUUGAAACCCUUCACUUCUUUUAAAAUUCCAUGACUUCUAUGUCUUCAUUUUUCUCUUUAGUUCCUCAUGAGAAAAA
Non-coding RNA from Odocoileus virginianus texanus, 4403 nucleotides. Lineage: Eukaryota; Metazoa; Chordata; Mammalia; Artiodactyla; Cervidae. The record is from RefSeq and is a predicted model, not a curated record.